Small nuclear RNA from Echinops telfairi (small Madagascar hedgehog), 161 nucleotides. Its record names the gene U1. It matches the Rfam family "U1 spliceosomal RNA". Rfam says of the family: U1 is a small nuclear RNA (snRNA) component of the spliceosome (involved in pre-mRNA splicing). The record is from Ensembl. NCBI's taxonomy places the organism in Eukaryota, Metazoa, Chordata, Mammalia, Afrosoricida, Tenrecidae.
AUACUUACCUGACGGGUGAUACCAUGAUCACGAAGGUGGUUUACCCAGGGCAAGGCUUAUCCAUUGCACUCCGGAUGUGCUGACCCCUGCAAUUUCCCCAAAUGUGGGAACUCAACUGCAUAAGUUGUGGUAGUGGGGGCCUGUGUUCGCGCCCUCCCCUU